GAUGAACGCUAGCGGCAGGCUUAAUACAUGCAAGUCGAGGGGCAGCACGGUUAGCAAUAACUGGUGGCGACCGGCGCACGGGUGCGUAACACGUAUACAAUCUACCUUAAACAGGGGGAUAGCCUUUCGAAAGAGAGAUUAAUACCCGUAAUAAAUUGAACGGCAUCGUUUGAUUUUGAAAGCUCCGGCGGUUUGAGAUGAGUAUGCGUCUGAUUAGCUAGUUGGUGAGGUAACGGCUCACCAAGGCGACGAUCAGUAGGGGAUCUGAGAGGACUAACCCCCACACUGGUACUGAGACACGGACCAGACUCCUACGGGAGGCAGCAGUAAGGAAUAUUGGACAAUGGGCGAAAGCCUGAUCCAGCAAUGCCGCGUGAGUGAUGAAGGCCUUAGGGUUGGUAAAGCUCUUUUAACCUAGGGGAUGAUAAUGACAGUACCU
Molecule: ribosomal RNA, 439 nt
Filed under: uncultured bacterium
Lineage: Bacteria
Description: bacterial SSU rRNA
Rfam family: Bacterial small subunit ribosomal RNA
Source: RNAcentral